AAGGCUUACGGUGGAUACCUAAGGACCUAGAGACGAGGAAGGGCGUAGUAAUCGACGAAAUGCUUCGGGGAGUUGAAAAUAAGCAUAGAUUUGGAGAUUCCCGAAUAGAGAAACCUUUCAAACUACUGUUGAAGCCAUGCAUAGGUAAGAGACA
RNAcentral lists this ribosomal RNA (154 nucleotides) under Olea europaea subsp. europaea. Its description in RNAcentral is "5_8S_rRNA". It matches the Rfam family "Bacterial large subunit ribosomal RNA", at positions 14 to 170 of the family's 2925-position model. The record is from RNAcentral. Lineage: Eukaryota; Viridiplantae; Streptophyta; Magnoliopsida; Lamiales; Oleaceae.